RNAcentral lists this long non-coding RNA (416 nucleotides) under Elaeis guineensis (African oil palm). RNAcentral describes it as "long non-coding RNA (EGUI_LNC030160)". The record is from RNAcentral. Lineage: Eukaryota; Viridiplantae; Streptophyta; Magnoliopsida; Arecales; Arecaceae.
GAUAGUGCAGAUAUUAUGAAGAAGCAGGUGGGCUUUCAGUUGCUUGGAGCCAUCCAAUCAUAACGGACCAUUGCAUCAUCCCUGGAGAUCCUGCCAAGUGGCACUUCCUCAUCGGCAGGGAGCCAUUUCUUUAGAAUAACUUAGCCAAUAAAAAGGAAGCGUAUACAAACCCAACUCUACCUCCCUUCUCCUCUCCCCAGUAACAGCCUCAAAAUUCUCCCUUUACGGUUGAGAAGCGCGCCCUCGUGCUUUUGGUUCUUCCUACCGUUGUUAGGAAGCGUGACGCAACCUCCUGGUGGGCUCGGGUUACUGAAACCCUGGAUUCUGACUCUUUCAAUGACUGCCUAAUCUCCUCAACUCGUCAGCCAUCUGGAACCAAGUUGAGAGGUAGUCAAGAAAACCAUUUCAAAGGGGUC